GGAUUAGCCCAGGUGGGAUUAGCUUGUUGGUGAGGUAAUGGCUCACCAAGGCAACGAUCCCUAGCUGGUCUGAGGGGAUGAUCAGCCACACUGGAACUGAGACACGGUCCAGACUCCUACGGGAGGCAGCAGUGGGGAAUAUUGCACAAUGGGGCAAACCCUGAUGCAGCCAUGCCGCGUGUAUGAAGAAGGCCUUCGGGUUGUAAGGUACUUUCAGUAGGGAGGAAGGCAGUGUCGUUAAUAGCGGCAUUGUUUGACGUUACCUACAGAAGAAGCACCGGCUAACUCCGUGCCAGCAGCCGUGGUAAUACGGAGGGUGCGAGCGUUAAUCGGAAUUACUGGGCGUAAAGCGCAUGCAGGCGGUCUGUUAAGCAAGAUGUGAAAGCCCGGGGCUCAACCUCGGAACAGCAUUUUGAACUGGCAGACUAGAGUCUUGUAGAGGGGGGUAGAAUUUCAGGUGUAGCGGUGAAAUGCGUAGAGAUCUGAAGGAAUACCGGUGGCGAAGGCGGCCCCCUGGACAAAGACUGACGCUCAGAUGCGAAAGCGUGGGCAGCAAACAGGAUUAGAUACCCUGGUAGUCCACGCCGUAAACGAUGUCUAUUUGGAGGUUGUGGCCUUGAGCCGUGGCUUUCGGAGCUAACGCGUUAAGUAGACCGCCUGGGGAGUACGGUCGCAAGAUUAAAACUCAAAUGAAUUGACGGGGGCCCGCACAAGCGGUGGAGCAUGUGGUUUAAUUCGAUGCAACGCGAAGAACCUUACCUACUCUUGACAUCCAGAUAACUUUCCAGAGAUGGAUUGGUGCCUUCGGGAACUCUGAGACAGGUGCUGCACGGCUGUCGUCAGCUCGUGUUGUGAAAUGUUGGGUUAAGGCCCGCAACGAGCGCAACCCUUCUCCUUGUUUGCCAGCAGUUCGGGUGGGAACUCCAGGGAGACUG
Molecule: ribosomal RNA, 935 nt
Filed under: Photobacterium leiognathi
Lineage: Bacteria; Pseudomonadati; Pseudomonadota; Gammaproteobacteria; Vibrionales; Vibrionaceae
Description: bacterial SSU rRNA
Rfam family: Bacterial small subunit ribosomal RNA
Source: RNAcentral